Molecule: ribosomal RNA, 279 nt
Filed under: uncultured bacterium
Lineage: Bacteria
Description: partial 16S ribosomal RNA
Rfam family: Bacterial small subunit ribosomal RNA
Source: RNAcentral
UGCCAGCCGCCGCGGUAAUACGGAGGGAUCUAGCGUUAUUCGGAAUUACUGGGCGUAAAGCGAGCGUAGGCGGAUUUGUAAGUUGGAGGUGAAAUCCCAGAGCUUAACUCUGGAACUGCCUUCAAAACUACAUUUCUUGAGUUUGGUAGAGGAGAGUGGAAUUCCUAGUGUAGAGGUGAAAUUCGUAGAUAUUAGGAGGAACACCAGUGGCGAAGGCAACUUACUGGACAUUUACUGACGCUCAGACACGAAGGCUAGGGUAGCAAAAGGGAUUAGAUA